UACGGAGGGGGCUAGCGUUGUUCGGAAUUACUGGGCGUAAAGCGCACGUAGGCGGACUGGGAAGUUGGGGGUGAAAUCGUGGGGCUCAACCUCGGAACUGCGUUCAAAACUAUUAGUCUGGAGUUCGAGAGAGGUGAGUGGAAUUCCGAGUGUAGAGGUGAAAUUCGUAGAUAUUCGGAGGAACACCAGUGGCGAAGGCGGCUUGCUGGCUCGAUACUGACGCUGAGGUGCGAAAGCGAGGGGAGCAAACAGG
RNAcentral lists this unclassified non-coding RNA (253 nucleotides) under uncultured Paracoccaceae bacterium. RNAcentral describes it as "uncultured Rhodobacteraceae bacterium contains 16S-23S intergenic spacer region". It matches the Rfam family "Bacterial small subunit ribosomal RNA", at positions 524 to 776 of the family's 1533-position model. Lineage: Bacteria; Pseudomonadati; Pseudomonadota; Alphaproteobacteria; Rhodobacterales; Paracoccaceae. The record is from RNAcentral.